RNAcentral lists this ribosomal RNA (316 nucleotides) under uncultured bacterium. RNAcentral's name for it is "bacterial SSU rRNA". It matches the Rfam family "Bacterial small subunit ribosomal RNA", at positions 488 to 804 of the family's 1533-position model. The record is from RNAcentral.
AAGGACCGGCUAACUCCGUGCCAGCAGCCGCGGUAAUACGGAGGGUCCGAGCGUUAAUCGGAAUUACUGGGCGUAAAGCGUGCGCAGGCGGUUUGUUAAGUGAGAUGUGAAAGCCCUGGGCUCAACCUAGGAAUCGCAUUUCAAACUGACCAACUAGAGUCUUGUAGAGGGGGGUGGAAUUCCAGGUGUAGCGGUGAAAUGCGUAGAGAUCUGGAGGAAUACCGGUGGCGAAGGCGGCCCCCUGGAUAAGACUGACACUGAUGCACGAAAGCGUGGGGAGCAAACAGGAUUAGAUACCCUGGUAGUCCACGCCGUA